Molecule: ribosomal RNA, 465 nt
Filed under: Vreelandella stevensii
Lineage: Bacteria; Pseudomonadati; Pseudomonadota; Gammaproteobacteria; Oceanospirillales; Halomonadaceae
Description: partial 16S ribosomal RNA
Rfam family: Bacterial small subunit ribosomal RNA
Source: RNAcentral
CCUACGGGUGGCUGCAGUGGGGAAUAUUGGACAAUGGGCGAAAGCCUGAUCCAGCCAUGCCGCGUGUGUGAAGAAGGCCUUCGGGUUGUAAAGCACUUUCAGUGGGGAAGAAAGCCUUGGGGCUACUACCCUCGAGGAAGGACAUCACCCACAGAAGAAGCACCGGCUAACUCCGUGCCAGCAGCCGCGGUAAUACGGAGGGUGCGAGCGUUAAUCGGAAUUACUGGGCGUAAAGCGCGCGUAGGCGGUCUGAUAAGCCGGUUGUGAAAGCCCCGGGCUCAACCUGGGAACGGCAUCCGGAACUGUCAGGCUAGAGUGCAGGAGAGGAAGGUAGAAUUCCCGGUGUAGCGGUGAAAUGCGUAGAGAUCGGGAGGAAUACCAGUGGCGAAGGCGGCCUUCUGGACUGACACUGACGCUGAGGUGCGAAAGCGUGGGUAGCAAACAGGAUUAGAUACCCCAGUAGUC